GCGGUUGUGGCGAAGUGGUUAACGCACCGGAUUGUGGUUCCGGCAUUCGUGGGUUCGAUUCC
RNAcentral lists this transfer RNA (62 nucleotides) under Ureibacillus acetophenoni. Its description in RNAcentral is "Lysinibacillus acetophenoni tRNA_His_GTG". It matches the Rfam family "tRNA", at positions 1 to 60 of the family's 71-position model. Rfam says of the family: Transfer RNA (tRNA) molecules are approximately 80 nucleotides in length. Their secondary structure includes four short double-helical elements and three loops (D, anti-codon, and T loops). Lineage: Bacteria; Bacillati; Bacillota; Bacilli; Caryophanales; Caryophanaceae. The record is from RNAcentral.